GAAAUGCGAUAAGUAAUGUGAAUUGCAGAAUUCAGUGAAUCAUCGAAUCUUUGAACGCACAUUGCGCCCGCCAGUAUUCUGGCGGGCAUGCCUGUUCGAGUGUCAUUUCAACCAUCAAGCCCCCCGGCUUGUGUUGGGGACCUGCGGCUGCCGCAGGCCCUGAAAAGCAGUGGCGGGCUCGCUGUCACACCGAGCGUAGUAGCAUACAUCUCGCUCUGGGCGUGCUGCGGGUUCCGGCCGUUAAACCACCUUCGUAACCCAAGGUUGACCUCGGAUCAGGUAGGAAGACCCGCUGAACUUAAGC
RNAcentral lists this unclassified non-coding RNA (304 nucleotides) under plant metagenome. RNAcentral describes it as "partial contains 5.8S ribosomal RNA, internal transcribed spacer 2, and large subunit ribosomal RNA". The stretch from base 1 to 105 matches the Rfam family "5.8S ribosomal RNA", at positions 50 to 154 of the family's 154-position model. The record is from RNAcentral.